GCUAUUACAAAGCCCUACUACCAACCCAAAUCAACUAUCAAUUUUUAUUAACCAAAACAUUAAUCUAACCUUAGUAUAGGUGAURGAACAGUUAAUCCAGGCGCAAUAACGUUA
This 114-nucleotide ribosomal RNA is filed under the name Burramys parvus (mountain pygmy possum). Its description in RNAcentral is "partial 16S ribosomal RNA". Lineage: Eukaryota; Metazoa; Chordata; Mammalia; Diprotodontia; Burramyidae. The record is from RNAcentral.